AUGCCUGUGAUGAGACUUAACCGAGUGAUUCGGCUCAGAGAAAGCUGAACAACACUAAUGGUCAGAGGACCCGUUGUGGCCUUAGACAUUCUAUGCCUAUGGUUCUGUAUCCAGAUGUCUGGUUGUGCUGGACUGCUGCCCCUGCUCCCUCCUGAGGAGAGGUCAAAGGACUCGGUUCCUUACGGAGAUGACAUGGACGGAAUACUCUCCUUGGAACAGACACAAUGUAAAAGUUAUGAAAAGUGUCUGGAUUUUUCCAUUUAGUAUUUUCAGGACUGAGGUUGGCGAAGAGUAAGUGGAAGGACAGCGGAGCAGCUCCCUGGCUGAGGAGGGAGCUGAGGAGGGACUGAGUAUGUUGUAGCUCCAGGUGUACAAUCUGAGAUGUUCCCUCCCAUAGUCCUUUGCAAAAGAACAAAACAACAAUAACAACAACAAAAGGCCCGUUGCACUCUGAAUCUGCUUUUCUACAUGUGGGGACAGCCACUAAUGCUUGUGGGGAGCUUGGGACAGGGCUCAGCAGUUAAGAGCCACAAACUGCUCUUUCAGAGGACCCAGGUUUUGUCCCCUCCCGUCCCCCCCUCCCCCCAACCCACAUCAGGCAGCUCACCACCAUCCAUAACUCUUGUCUUUCUGGGAGAUCUGGCACCCUCUGCUGGUUUCCUCUGGCACUGCACUUGAGUACAAACGCCCACACACACUCUUGUACACACGUAGGGACUCACCCACAAGUAUACAUACCAUCUUCCAUUUAACUCUCUUUGAGACAUCAAAGCUUUAAUUCAGCAGGCCCUACAAGAUAAACAUCACCGUCGUCGAUCUGCUGACAGAUGGCGUGUGACAGAAUUCGUAAUUGAAGCAUCCUAGGGUGGAAUGGAUGGCACUUGUGACCUAAUGUUACACUCGCUGAUAUAUGACCUAACACUAGCACUCUGUGUACAUCUCUGGCUAAGCCCAGUGCGUGUGUUAUGUGCCAGCCUCACUGAGAUCAGUGGGAUGUCUAAGGUAAAUGGUUGCCAAAGAUGCAAGAAAUCCCAUCUGGAAGCAACAUAUAAGUUCCACGAAGCUGCCCUGGGUGGGUAGUUAGGCCCAGAAAGGUAUCGAGGAAGGCAGUAUCUCUGCAUCUGUCAUCCAGGUCUGAGAUUACAGUAGCCGGGAGUCACAGCCAUGGCCUGUGAGCGGCAUUUCCGAUACUUAGCACACCAUCUCCUCACUCUGGCCCAGAGCUCUAGGGCAGGCACCUCAUGCCCACAGCUCUCUGCUGCAGCUCCUAUAUGCCCUCGUGCCCAGUUUGCACACCUUCCUGCCCAUAGCUUUCCCACUUCCCAUGCACAUACAAGUCCCAGAGAAAACCAUCAGUGCUAACUUCUGAAGAGCUUCGAGCGUUUGUCAAUAUCCUGUUCCUUUCUGUAGAGAAAGCUGUGGGGGAGGGGGUUUCUUGAGUAAGAGCUGAGUGGGUUUAAAUGCCCCGUGGCAAACAGACUUCUGCUGUUGAAACAGCCUUGCAUCUCACCAAACAGCUCACAGCGUUUCUCUCAUGUUUAUGACAGGUGGUUUGUGUUUGACACGGAGACAAAGGACUUGGUCACCGUCCACACGGAUGGGAAUGAGCAGCUGUCCGUGAUGCGGUAUUCUCCAGGUCAGAAUCCAGCUUUCAAAUUCUCACAAAGAAUACAGUUUUGUACAAGAAACAGGUUGACAAAGCUCCACCAAGGGACUUAACUUAAGCAUGUGGUGUGUAGGGCUCACUAGACAGCGAACCUUUUCGUCACUGUGCAGCUGUGGUUUAACUUUGUAUUACAAAUCCCCCGCCCGCUGUCUAGUCCUCUCUGUUUUUCCAGACAGGGUUUCUCUGUGUAGCCCUGGCUGCCCUGGAACUCACUCUGUAGACCAGGUUGACCUUGAACUCCUAGAGAUUCCCCCUGCCUCCACCUCUCAAGUGCUGGGAUUAUAGGCGUGUAGCCUUACACUCCACUUAUCUUACAGAAAAUCUCAAACACAGAAUUAGACAGGGUGUCAGGGUGAGUCUCCCACCUCAUUACCGCUUGGAAGGACCACUCUGCUACCUUCAUGGCCCUCCAAGGUACAUGCCAUUAGUGCAUUACAAACAUGUAGUUCAGAGGUUCCUGGGACUAGGGAGACGUCUCGAGCCGCCGCGUGGGCCGUGCAGGUGUGAGUCUCGAGGAUCUGUCUCCCAGCCCUUUUGAUGAGUUUAUUCUUCUAGAUUUGUUCCUGUUAUUUUUUUUAGUGUUCGUGUGUGCACCGUGGUGCCUGGGCAUGUGUGGUUUAUGUAUGUAUGUGUGGUUUAUGAGUGUAUAAAUCCCUAGGAUCUUUCUCAUGUGAUGUUAGAUCAUCUGUAAAUAAAAUGUUUGCUGUGUCUUUGGAUCUAGAGGCCUUUAUACCUCUUUCACUGCAUAGCUGGUUCCUCUAGUAAAGUGUGAACAGGGACGGUCAGGCCGACUCUCUUGUUUUGUUCUCAGUGUUUCCUCUUCAGGGACAGAGAUACCAUUUAUCACGAGCAUGUUCUCUACUGUCUGGCUUGGUCUCAGCAUAAGAAGUGUUGGAGCUUGUCAAAUGCUUUUCUACGUCUGUCAAGAUGGGAAAUGUGAAAAGAAAUUGAACCUUGUGUGGUUGUGCACAUCUGUAGUCCCAGCACUCAGGAGGCAGAGGCAGGAGGAACUCUGGGAGCUCAAGCCCAGCUUGUUUUACAUAGGGAGUUCCAGGACAGCCAGGGCUACAUAGCAAGACCCCGUCU
This 2752-nucleotide long non-coding RNA is filed under the name Mus musculus (house mouse). RNAcentral describes it as "long non-coding RNA chr12:108528756-108531508". The record is from RNAcentral. Lineage: Eukaryota; Metazoa; Chordata; Mammalia; Rodentia; Muridae.